Molecule: non-coding RNA, 8068 nt
Organism: Podarcis lilfordi (Lilford's wall lizard)
Lineage: Eukaryota; Metazoa; Chordata; Lepidosauria; Squamata; Lacertidae
Source: the annotation of a GenBank genome assembly
GGCUGAUAUUGGGUGUCAUAUUGUAUUUUUAUUUCUGGGGAGGAGCUUCUGGUAUUUUUUCCUUCAGGGGCCAAAAUAACUUGACCAGCCUUGGCUCCUGUGUGGAGAAAAAGUGGGGCAAGAAUGACAAUGUGCUUCCUUUCCUCAAGCAGCAAAAUAGCUUGAGCCAGUCCAGAUGUUUUCCUAAGGGAGGGUUUAAGUCCCUUAGUUUAAAAUGUUUAGUUUAAUGCACUUAGUUUGUAAAGUAAUACACUUCAAUACACUUAGUUAAUACUAAGGGUUUUUUUAUGGAAAGCAGCAAAUACAAUAUAGUGCUUGAUGCACUAUUGGCUGUGAUUCUAUAAUUUUCUUCAGGUUUUGUUCUAAUUCACUAGUCCCCAUUUCAUUACAUCUCACAUGCUCGACAAUAAAUUUUAACGUAAGUGAAAUUGAGCAUUUUAAUGUUCUUGAUGUUGGCAUUGCCUUGAUACUUCUUAUAAUUGAAGUAAGAGCUGAUCUUAGGAUAAAACAGAGGUUUGGGCCGUAAUUUCACCCAAAGAGCUGGCUUCACAUGUAGCAGUAAGCAAAGCUAUAACUUGGUCUGAAUGUGUGGGUUUGCUGAGCAAAGCUGCUGCAUUGUUGUGACCAUGGCAUGUCACUCCUGCAAAGGUUUGUUAUUAGGUUUACAGUUUGUGGUUUGUCUUGAGGUGACAAUCCAUGAGCCCAGGUCCUGGUGGUAUGUUAUGCCAAACCAUGGCUUAGUCCAUGGUUAUGUGGCAGCAGAUGGACCAGCCACAGUCUCCAUAGCGUGCAAGCUAGUGCAGUGUUUUGUUCACAAGAGUGUUAAAAUGUUGGUGUGAUCAUCUUUGUUGAAAAUGCAGUAGUUUCUACUUGUCAAGCACCACAGAUAAUAAUAGUUGCUUAACAGCUGUUCUGGAAUUACAAAUUGGGUUUUCCACAGGCCCCUAAUGCUCAUCUGUGAACGUGCUUCUCCGUCUUGACCUACAAAUACCCAGUGUGCGUAGAACAAUGGAAGUGAUUUUUUUCAUAGGCUUGGGGUCAUGAAGUUCACAGUCAGGUUGGAGAUAAAAGGUAAAGGGACCCCUGACCAUUAGGUCCAGUCGUGACCGACUCUGGGGUUGCGGCGCUCAUCUCACUUUAUUGGCCAAGGGAGCCGGCGUACAGCUUCUGGGUCAUGUGGCCAGCAUGACUAAGCCGCUUCUGGCGAACCAGAACAGUGCACAGAAACACCAUUUACCUUCCCACCGACAUGUUUUCGAACUGCUCCCUUCGACAUGCUUUCGAACUGCUAGGUUGGCAGGAGCAGGGACCAAGCAACGGGAGCUCACCCCAUUGUGGGUAUUCGAACCACUGACCUUCUGAUUGGCAAGUCCUAGGCUCUGUGGUUUAACCCACAGCACCACCCACGUCCCUAUUCCCUCUAUAUUAUGAUUUAAUUUCUUAUUUCCAAUAAUUCAAAUGCCAUUAUAGCCAUACAUGGAGUAUGCGCAUGUGGCACAUAACCAUGUGAAAUUUUCACCUAGUGUACUUGCCAUUUCACUGUCUUUUUUUUAGCACCUAAGUGGCAAUAUUUGUUAUUCUUGUUGGGACAUUAGUCCUUGUACAGUAGCUUUCCCUGAGUUCUGUACCUGACAUUUCCCGAAUGUCAUUAGACUUGGUGGAACGUUUAAACCAGAGGGAGGGAGUAUGGGAUAAUUGAAUGUUAAGCCCUUUCAAAAUGGGCAUUUCGAUCCCCAAAGACCUGCUUAAAGUGAAUAAAAGAGUAGAUGCAGUUGUCAAUUUUCUACUUGGUGACUAAAUAUAAGCUGCGUAAGCAGAAGUAAGACCCAGUAAACCUGGCUUGCAAAAAAAGUGUAAAAUUGCUACAAGCUUUAAAUUCCUCAUCGGGUCAGGAAGGCAGCUGUUUGAGCAUAUAUUAUCUAGAGGGCUUUCUUCCUCCUGGUUCUUGAAUUUUAACUAUGCCAAGAGCUGCUCUGUGCCUUGAUAUCAUUCGCCACCAUCCUUCUUCAUGUGUUGUAGGCAGCCCCUCAGCAAAAGAUACUUAUCAAGCCAGAGGAAGCAGCUUAAGCUAUUCUUUUGUUAGCUUUUAGAAAGCAUAGAGCUCCAAAUGAAUCCUGAAGUUCCUGGGCAGCCUGCUUGCAAGCACUGUGCAUAAGAAACUCUUAUUAUUGUAGGUCACUGAAUUCAUUUUUAAAAUGCCAAUUGACAUCAUUCCUUUGGGGAAUUGUUAGUUGCAGCAGAAAUGUGGAAAGUUAGGAGUUUUUUUGUUUUUGUUUUGGAAAGGAUCUCACUUGAGUGUGUAGAAGAAGUUCAGGUGGCACCUUUCCAGCAUUUCAAUUUACCUAAAUGGACAUAGCUGGUUUACUAGAGAUUUCCACUGUGGCUGUCUUGUUUUAACAUGCUUUGGGAAAUUGGCACGAUUUCUCCUAGCCUUGGCACGGAGCUUGAUGACUCCGGCUGAUACUUAGCUCCUGCUUUAGCAGAAAUUGAUACUAUAGCACCAAUAAUGGCCACAGCUGCUUAGUCGAAAAUGAAAAUAGGAAUACUAAAUGCAUGAAGAGAAAUGACCAAAGACAAGCUAUCUAGAGCUAUUUGUGGAAAAGAGUGAUUUCUGAUUGGGAAGCCCUAGCCAACUUGUUACUCAUUAUAUCCUCCUGACAUGUUGCGUACAUUUUAAUAUCUGUCAGGUAGUCAAGUACACUGCAUUCUUACCAUCAUUAAGCAAUACGAUUUGCUUUUCACUUCAUUACAGGGGAGCCCAGUUAUACUGCCGCUCAAGUUAAAAAUCUGGCAACUGCUUAUUCCAGAGAUUUAAAAUAGCCACUUAAAAAACAAACCAACAAACCCUGAAGUCUCAGAACUUCAGAAUCCACUUUUCAGCCUUGUCAAAAGCUUCAUUUGUAAGUCUGGCAUUCAAAUAAUUCUUACCCUCUGCCCUCUUCUCUAAAUUAGAAAAUAUGAUGUGAGAUAGAGGCUGUAUAUUUCAUUUGCCACUGAAUGAAAUGACAGGAUAGUGUAUCUGGAUAAAUGUUAAUGAACAGGACUAAUGUUAGAAAGCCCUGCAUAUUAUGACUAUCACCUAAUUCUCUUUUUGUAUGACGUCCAAGGAGCUUAACAUUCCAGUUGAUCAAGAUGAAUGUGAACCCUCCCCACUGCCCAAUUGUGGAUUUAACCCACAUACUUAUUACAAAUAACUGGAGAAUUCUUUGGAAAACAAAUGAUCAUAUCUGAUACAGUAUCUUAUUUUAUUUACCCUUCCUUUUCAUGCUAUGAGAAGAUCACAUUUAUCUUCUGGAGUGUUAAGCUGCUUGAAGGCUUUUUCACAUGUUAUAAUGUUCUUCCUUGGAAUGGAUUCAACUUAACCAUCCUAAGGCUUACUGAAUGCCAGCUCUGACCAUGUGGCAUUUAAACAUAUUUUAAUGUUCAUUGGUACCAUACUUCUACUUUGCUGAACAUUCAAGAGAACACUUAUUUCAGUAGCUAAAGGGAGCCAGCACUUGCAGUUGUUAAUAGUAGCUAGUAGCUAGUAGAUUAGAAUGCUAACCUGGGCUUUCAAAGCCACUUUGAACCCUGCUUAUCAUGCGAGCAUCUGUCAAGAUGUAAUGCUAAAUCAGCAGUAGCCUUCCAGAGGUAGUUGGACCAAAUCUCAUCAUCCCUGGCCAACAUGAACAAUGGUCAGGGCUGACUGUGUUGUACUACAACAGCAUAUACAGUAUUGGCUACCUCUGAGAGGAAUUGGAACUGGUAGGUUCCUGAUUUGCAGUCCAUGGUUUCGUAGAGACCCAGUGUUAUAUCUGUACUGAGCCUAUGAUCAACUCUCAUGCUUUCGCCUAUGGCACUGAAGACUACAAACCAGCUACUCAGAUAGUAUGCCAGGGACAAAGCUGAACAAAAAACUCACUGUGAUUUUUUUGAGAAUAAAAAGUCCUCUUUCACAUUUUGAUAUAUUUUCUUUAAAAAUGUGUACUUGUUUCAAAUGCCAGUGAAAUGGAUCACCAGAAUAGUAUAAUAUGUUGUUUGGGAUCUAGCUAGUUCCACAUUUCAUGAGGUUUUGAGUUUGUGUUUCUCAUACAACAAUUUCCCAAGCCUUGUGGAAAUACGCUUUUGAAACCCAGGAGACUUUUAAAACUAGUUUGUGUUAUGGCAUAAUUGUCUUAUGUGUGCAUAUUUAUAAACACACACACACACACACACACACACACACACAAUAUUUUCAGAUGUUGCCUUGUUGUUGUCUUGAAAACAUUUGCAACUACAAAACUACUAAAUAAAUAUUCUCAUGCAAGAGAUGUGAGAGCUGUUGAGUAGCCCUAGUCAGAUGAAGACAAAUUUUGCAUUUCAUAUCCCUGCAGAUCACCUCCUUGUUUAUUUAUUUCAAACCCUUCCCUUCCCUUUAAUAUGGUACUCAAAAUGGAUGGGCCCCUGUUAACCUUUCUGAAAAUAAUGAUCUGACUGAGAUCAUGCUUGGUAUAUUCCAGCUCAGUAGGCAUAUUCUUUGGGAAAAUUAUAAGCAAAUGGCAAGGAUGGAUUAUGUCCCAAGAAGCAGCCCCUAUAAGACAUUUGUAUGCAUAGUUAUGGCUGAAAUGCAAUUACAUAAGUAAACAGUUUGGUUUCUCCAGUUCUCGCUAUCAUAUCAGAAACAGGUUUUAGCCAUACAUAAUUCAUCUCCUCAUUCCACUACAUGAGAGAAUGAGAAUUUAGGAGUACAAAACUGACUUGUAAGGAGGAUUUAUUAGGAAGCUCUGACCCACAAUUAUCUGGGAGAAGAUAGUUUUGGCAAGUUAGUUUUUCUCAUGGAGGUCAGUGCUUUCUUUCCAUCAUUCUAAAUUUAUUGAUGAUAAAGUAUAUAGUUUCAAAUGGUUUGCCAGGGACACACCAGAUGCCUGAAUUCUGGACUGGUUUAUGGCUAAUUUAAAAAGGCUAAUUCUUUCCCCCCUCAAACUUACAAGUGUGAAUAUAUUUAUUGUCAAAGCAGUCAAUAGUUUGACAAGCUAAGUAAAUCCAGGAAAACCUAAUUGGGUAUUUUCCAUUCCACAUAGCAUUAGUGCUUAUUUUUAAGAGAGUCCUGGGAGUAGCUGUUAGUAAAGAUAUUGAUUACUACUCUGCUGUUGAUAGUUGGUUGAGUAGGAGGCUAGCACUUCAUAGAAGCUAAACCAAAAUUUAAAGGGGUGAAAAUGUUGUUAUUUUCACACAUUUCUAAGAGACUUGCUAUGCUGUAUUCUCUCUGUGUAUACAAUUGUUUUUUUUUUUCUAAAGAGCUGACAGAAACCAAAGGUCAUGAUCUUCUGUGUGUUGCUAAUUCAGAUGAAGACUGCACAUGAAAUGUCUAGGGAUUUACUCUGUAUGAAAUACCUACAGUGAUUUGUAUCAUAGUUUCGGUCUAAAAUAAUGUAUCCACAAUAAUAUAACUAAAAAUAUGCAUUUUUACAAACAAAACUGUCCAGAUAUAUUUGGUGCUUGGUCCCUCAGCUUUGGUAUUAAAAGAAAAAAAAGUUUUUAUAAUGUAUCUGACUUACGUCCCCCCCAUUUAGUUUGUUGAGUGCUAAAAUAAGUGUGUUUUUGCCUCUUGGUUUUUGUGAAUGCUUAGUCUCAAAGAUCUCAUUGCAGUAUAUCAAGAAAGUAAUUGAUUGUGCCAUGUAGCCUGUGAUCCCACUAUAGAAAGCAACCCCUAUAAGAAAAUAAAUAUUUUUAAGGGUGUGUAGUGUACGAAUCUAUACAUAGCUGAAAUGCUACUCGUUGUAGCUUCAUACUUUCUUAAAGCAAACACUGCAGUGCUCAUGAAUAAACAUAAAUUCUGCAUAAAAACCAGUGAUCUAAUUUGAUGUAUUGGGAUGGCAUGGUUUCAUUAUUAAAAUACAAACCUAUGUAUUUGGUUUUGCAUUGAUGACACAGUGCAUGGUCUAUAAUGCAUACCUUCUGUCGGUAUAAGCAAAUAUGCAAAUAUGAACAGCAGUUAUACGCACUCCACUUCAUGUGCUCUGUGUCCUUUCUGGGGUUUAGCAGUUUGGGUUCAGCUUUCAUACCAAAAAGCCCUCCACUUUAGAUGGCUACUGCAUUAAGUUAAUGAAUACUGUAGUCCGGAUACAUUUGAAUGCACUUCCUCCGCAGGGGUGUGUGUGUGUGUGUGUAGAAUCAGUAUUGUAACCUCACACAUGGAGAUAUAUGCGGCGCGGGGGUGCAAAGAUCUGCCCGGCGCCCCCCCCCCCGGUUGCUCAGUCCCAGGCACACAGGAGGGUGGAGCUGGAUGGCCGCCUCAGUGUCUCACUGGCUCGGUUGCCCCCAAACUCAUGGCACAGAGCCACCCGCAGCAGAAGAGCCUGCUCUGGCGCUCCGACCGACGGGCAGGCUCUUCCCCGGACUCAACUCUCAGGCCCCGGACUCUUGACCUGGCACCCAAGAGCCCGGUGCCUGGGUGCCCCGCCUUUGGGUAAGACGGCCCUGCAUGGAGAUUGAGGACUCCAUUGGCUGUCCCAGGAAGAAUCAAUUUGUCCAUUAUUUAUGCAUGUUUGUACUGUAUCUAUGAAUAAGUUAAUAAGAACAGUGGGUUGAAGCUAAACAUCUAUACAGUGGUACCUCGGGUUACAGACGCUUCAGGUUUCAGACUCCGCUAACCCAGAAAUAGUACCUCGGGUUAAGAACUUUGCUUCAGGAUGAGAACAGAAAUCGUGCUCUGGCGGCGCAGCAGCAGCAGAAGGCCCCAUUAGCUAAAGUGGUGCUUCAGGUUAAGAACAGUUUCAGGUUAAGAAUGGACCUCUGGAACAAAUUAAGUUUUUAACCCAAGGUAGGUAAAGGUAAAGGUACCCCUGCCUGUACGGGCCAGUCGUGUCUGACUCUAGGGUUGUGCGCCCAUCUCACUUAAGAGGCCGGGGGCCAGCGCUGUCCGGAGACACUUCCGGGUCACGUGGCCAGCGUGACGAAGCUGCUCUGGCGAGCCAGCACCAGCGCAGCACACGGAAACGCCGUUUACCUUCCCGCUAUAAAGCUGUACCUAUUUAUCUACUUGCACUUGGGGGUGCCUUCAAACUGCUAGGUGGGCAGGAGCUGGGACCGAAAGACGGGAGCUCACCCCGCUGCGGGGAUUCGAACCGCCGACCAUGCGAUCGGCAAAUCCUAGGCACUGCGGUUUUACCCACAGCGCCACCCGCAUCCCUCCUUAACCCAAGGUACCACUGUAUUAAAUAUCUGGUUAUCAAGUGAAAUUUAGUGAUAUUUUUUUUACGUCCUAAUCAUGUAAGGGUAGAAAGUGUUUGUAGUUGGACAAAAGUUGUAAUAAUUGUAAGAUGAACACAGUGGAUCUCAAUAUUACAGGAACAGAAUUUUAGAUGCAUACGUGUAGUGGAAUGUCCUAUGAAACACUCUGAGAAUAAAGGGAGGCUUAUAAUUUAGAUAAGAAGAUUGGCUUCCAGGAGGAAAAAUCAAAAUUGGAAACAGAAUUGUUAGAUCCUAAAACUAAGAACUUAUCAAGAAUGUAUAACUUGCUGUUGAAAUGGAAUACACAGGAUGAAACGGUUAAAUCUGUUAUGAUUAAAUGGGCACAAGAUUUUGGACAUAACAUUAUGUUUGCUGACUGGGAACAGUUAUGGACCACAGGUAUGAAAUUUACGGCUUGUAAUGCCUUAAGAGAAAAUAUAAUGAAAAUGAUUUACAGGUGGUACUUAACCCCAGCCAAACUAGCAAAAAUCUAUCAUUUGUCAGAUAGUAAAUGUUGGAAAUGUAAAGAGACUGAGGGCACAUUUUUUUCACCUUUGGUGGACAUGCCCAAGGAUUAAGGCUUUCUGGGAAAUGAUAUAUAAUGAAUUGAAAAAGGUAUUUAAAUAUACCUUUCUGAAGAAACCAGAGGCCUUUCUUCUGGGCAUGGUCGGCCAAUUGGUGCGAAGGGAGGAUAGAACUUUUUUUAUGUAUGCUACAACAGCAGCAAGAAUACUCAUCGGAAAGUACUGGAAGACACAAGAAUUGCCCACCCGAGAAGAAUGGCAGAUGAAAGUGAUGGACUACAUGGAACUGGCUGAGAUGACCGGCAGAAUUCGAGACCAGGGAGAAGGGUCGAUGGAAGAAGAUUGGAAAAAAU